Molecule: small nucleolar RNA, 169 nt
Organism: Nematolebias whitei (Rio pearlfish)
Lineage: Eukaryota; Metazoa; Chordata; Actinopteri; Cyprinodontiformes; Rivulidae
Product: small nucleolar RNA SNORA23
Exons: 1
Source: RefSeq, a predicted model, not a curated record
AGUGAACGGUGUGCACGGUGUAGUCUGUGUUAUGUGUUGUUGCUGGACUGUGUUUUGCAGGCCGGGUAGCAGCACUCACUCCAUACCUGCAGCCAUAGAACAACUGGGGAUCAUAGUACUGGCUUUUGACAUCUUCCCAUCAGCCAGCCUCCAAACUCUCCCAACAUAC